RNAcentral lists this unclassified non-coding RNA (278 nucleotides) under Hevea brasiliensis (rubber tree). The record is from RNAcentral. Lineage: Eukaryota; Viridiplantae; Streptophyta; Magnoliopsida; Malpighiales; Euphorbiaceae.
UAAGUGAUGAUGAAGAGGGUCUCAUUCCAUUGUGGGCUGGAGCGUAGGGUCUCAUAAACCUCUUUGAUGAACAUCUGGCCUUGGUAGACAUCAUGGGAAGGGUGAUCAUCAGUGGCAGGUUUUUGCUUGGAAUCCAUGUAUCUUUGCUCGAUGACAACAUAGUUUGAGAGGGUGCCCUUUUUAGCAUGAUCCUUGAACUCCUGGUCAUAGGAGCGGAACUUAGUAAUGUACUUGAGCUUCCGAAGGUUGCGGUAAAAAAGGGUGGCAGGAAGGUUUUG